This 137-nucleotide small nucleolar RNA is filed under the name Anser cygnoides (Swan goose). RNAcentral's name for it is "Small nucleolar RNA SNORA5 (ENSACDG00005016850.1)". It matches the Rfam family "Small nucleolar RNA SNORA5". Rfam says of the family: ACA5 is a member of the H/ACA class of snoRNA that guide the sites of modification of uridines to pseudouridines. Lineage: Eukaryota; Metazoa; Chordata; Aves; Anseriformes; Anatidae. The record is from Rfam by way of RNAcentral.
CGCAGCCUUGUCAAAUUCGGUGCCCGCCUCUCGGUGGUGGGGACCGGCCCAAGGGCUGCCACAGCAAGGGCCGUGCUUCAUGGGCCCCGCGUCCCCGCCGUGGGGCUGCGGGGAUAAAAAUAAGGCCACGCACAGCC